This 67-nucleotide transfer RNA is filed under the name Caenis pycnacantha. RNAcentral describes it as "tRNA-Met". The record is from RNAcentral. Lineage: Eukaryota; Metazoa; Arthropoda; Insecta; Ephemeroptera; Caenidae.
AGGAAAGUAAGCUAAGUUUAAGCUAUUAGGUUCAUACCCUACUUAUGGGCGUCCCGCCCCUCUCCUA